Molecule: transfer RNA, 74 nt
Filed under: Xibalbanus tulumensis
Lineage: Eukaryota; Metazoa; Arthropoda; Remipedia; Nectiopoda; Speleonectidae
Description: tRNA-Trp
Source: RNAcentral
AGGGUUUUAAGUUAAUUAAAACUAUUGUCCUUCAAAGACAAAAAUACUAAAUACCAAGCAUUUAUUAACCCCUA